AAAGUAUUAUUUUAAAUUUAAAAAUAUCUGAUUUUUAAUCAGAAGAUUUAAUAUUUUA
Molecule: transfer RNA, 58 nt
Filed under: Heliconema longissimum
Lineage: Eukaryota; Metazoa; Nematoda; Chromadorea; Rhabditida; Physalopteridae
Description: tRNA-Lys
Source: RNAcentral